GUGUGUCUAAAAUUGUGUUUGAAACUAGAACCAUACAGAAAAUGGAGCUUCUGUCUUGAGCACAUUGAAGUGGAGUAUGCAAGCAGUCCCCCCAUUCUCUUUCAUAGACAAUUUCCUUAGAAAGAUCAAUGCUGAUAAAGUUUUGCCAAGAUCUUCAAUUUUUAGAUCAACCCAACUCAUAUUGAGCAUAAUAAAAGAAAAAGAUCGGUGAUUAGAUUGAAAUCCAUGAACAGAGGUAUCCAUGAAGAGUGUGAUCAUCUUGUUCAACUGGCCAAAGACAAGCUAAAGAAGUCCAUGGUGGCUGACAUUGAAUCAGGCAAGAGUGUAGAGGGCAAAGUUCGGAUUAGCUCUGGCAUGCUUCUUAACAAGGCCCAGCCAUGGAUAUGGAUCAAAAAGGGCCAGGGAAGAACAAGUGAAUGUGGACAGAUGAAGAGGAUAGAGAAUUGGUUUAUGCUUUUUUUGACAUGGUCAAUACAGGAAAUCACAAGGCUGACAAUGAUUUCAAGUCAGGCUUUCUUGGGGUGCUUGAAUGAGUGUUGCAUGAGAAGUUGCCGGGGUGUGGAAUUAAGGCUAAGCCACACAUAGAAUCUAGGGCUACGUUACACGGACUCGUUCAUUUUUGGGAGGUACCCGUGUCGACACGACACGGGUACGGGAUACGUACGGGACACGGCCAAAUGAAAACGGAUACGGCUGAUUGUUUUCUAUAAUAUUUUUGUUACAGAAUUUCUUUUUUGUUCUUCGUUUGAACAGGAAGAGGAUAAGAUCAGAAGAAUCAAACCAACAAAAUACAAAACUUCACAACAUGAUUUGAAUGGAAAGGAAAAGAAGCCUGAAAUGGAGAAGUAAAGUUGAGGCUGAGGUCACCAGAAAGCUGAAGAGUUGAAGUCGUCGGUGCCUUAUUGCAACCUUUUCUGCUUCGUCGAUGCAUUCCCAUAAUUUUUGAACUGAAUUGUCUUCGGCUGAUUUUUUUUUUGAACUGAAUCGUCUUCGGCUGAUUCGUCUUCCUUUCGUCUUCCAAUGAAUUUGUGGUGUUCCUGCCUCUGUUUUUUUAUUUUUUUUCUUAUUUUUUGAACUAGUUCGUCUUCUUCUGGGCUGAUGCAUUCCCUCUGUUUUUUGUUCUUGCCUCUCUCUCUCUCUCUUCUAUUCUAGAUCUGUCUUUUGAUCUGCCCCCUCUCUCUCAGAUCUGCCUUUUGAUCCCCCCUCUCUUUUAUUCUUUAUUUAUUAUAUUUCAUCCCUCCCUUUUAUUCAUUUUAUAAAAAUAUUUUUUUAAAAACAAUUGGGCUGAACAUCAGAAGAUCCACAACUUUAAAAUUGGGCUAUAAGUACUCUUGGCUUUCCAGUGUUAAACUUACUUAUUUGUUAAACAAUUGUCUUCACUACCAAUUGGCUACAAAAGAUUGACAUAAAUUUUGGGCCUACUAAAAUUUGGGGCUAUUAAAAUUUUGGCCAACAAAUCUUUUAAUACCAUGGGUUGUUAUGUAACUAAUUUAUAUUUUUGUUAUUUAUAAUAUAUAUGUCAAUUAAAAGUAAAAAAAUAAAUUAUAUAGAUAAAUUAAAAAAAUUAUCAAUAAAAGUAAUACAUAAGAUAAAAAUAAUAAAUAUAUUUAAAAAAUAACUAUUUCACUUAUUAUUAUAUAAUAAAUAUAUUUUAAAAAUUAAAUAUUUAACGUAUCCCUGUAUCCGUAUUCUCGUUUGGAUCCAUAUCCACGUAUCCUCGAUUUUUAGUUUUGAAGUGCCCGACCCCUAGAUACGUACCCACACCCGAGUCCGUGUAACGUAGAUCUAGGGUCAAGACAUUGAAAAGUGACACUGGAACUGUGUUUGAUAUGGUUAACCGAGUGGGCUGCAGUGGAUUUGGAUGGGAUUCCAUCAAAAAUAUGGUGGUUGCUGAAAAACAAGUUUGGGAUGGCUAUGUGCAGAGCCACAAGCUGCUCACUGGAAAAAUACGAGUUUCCCACAUUGUGACAUGUUGUGCAUCAUCUUCGAGAAAGAUCGUGCUAUGGGAAAAGAUGCAGUUACUGCUGAUGAUGUCUUGGAGGAAGUGAGCAGAAAU
This is a non-coding RNA of Camellia sinensis, 2056 nucleotides long. NCBI's taxonomy places the organism in Eukaryota, Viridiplantae, Streptophyta, Magnoliopsida, Ericales, Theaceae. The record is from RefSeq and is a predicted model, not a curated record.